AGCAGCCGCGGUAAUUCCAGCUCCAAUAGCGUAUAUUAAAGUUGUUGCAGUUAAAAGGCUCGUAGUUGAACUUCGGGGUUUACUCAUUGGUCAGGCUUAAUUGUCUGUACUGGUGAGAUGAAUCUCUACCUUCUGAGGAACUUUCAUGCCAUUUAUUUGGUGUGGUUGGAAAUCAGGACUGUUACUUUGAAAAAAUUAGAGUGUUUAAAGCAGGCUAACGUCUGAAUACAUUAGCAUGGAAUAAUGAAAUAGGACGGAUUGAUUCUAUUUCGUUGGUUUCUAGGGUCACCGUAAUGAUUAAUAGGGAUAGUUGGGGGCAUUAGUAUUCAAUUGUCAGAGGUGAAAUUCUUGGAUUUAUUGAAGACUAACUACUGCGAAAGCAUUUGCCAAGGAUGUUUUCAUUAAUCAAGAACGAAAGUUAGGGGAUCGAAGACGAUCAGAUACCGUCGUAGUCUUAACCAUAAACUAUGCCGACUAGGGAUCGGACGAAGUUAAUUAAUAAUGACGCGUUCGGCACCUU
RNAcentral lists this ribosomal RNA (520 nucleotides) under uncultured Diversispora. RNAcentral's name for it is "SSU rRNA". It matches the Rfam family "Eukaryotic small subunit ribosomal RNA", at positions 569 to 1089 of the family's 1831-position model. Lineage: Eukaryota; Fungi; Glomeromycota; Glomeromycetes; Diversisporales; Diversisporaceae. The record is from RNAcentral.